UGCACAUCUUCCUGAAGGCACAACAAAUGU
RNAcentral lists this non-coding RNA (30 nucleotides) under Mus musculus (house mouse). The record is from RNAcentral. Lineage: Eukaryota; Metazoa; Chordata; Mammalia; Rodentia; Muridae.